CCUGGCAAGCCUCCCUGGAGGCGGUGGCCUGGGCUGGGCUUAGGACCUUGCUUGGUGUUUACUUGGGCACAAGCCGUUUACUGGAGAGCUGCUUGGUUAGUUAAGUCCUGAAGGUGGGGGAUCUUGAAAUGGCUCCUUAGAAGCUGGGCCAGUUUUACUCCUCCUAAAUGGGUGGUAGAAUGUAGAUGAUUGAUAAAAGUUUCCCCAAGGGCUUGGGGCAUGAAGAUUCUGGAAUCAGGAAGAAUUCACCAACCUUCCUGAUUUUUACUGGCUUGAAGAUCCGAAGCUUGUUUUUCUUCCUCUGGGGAGUAUUCUGGGUAGUCUGCCCAGUCAGUUGUGGAAAGGACACAGAGGGCAGCAGGGUUAAAGGCACGACCAGGAGCUGAGCUGCCUCUCAAGCUGCAGAGUCUGCUCUUUGGUUACCACGAGCAAUGGCCAUGUCUUCUCUUUGAUGUCCUUUGCAGUGAAUUGCAGCCACCUGUUGAGGGAGCCAAACAGCUUCAAGCAGGGCUAAAAUUUCUUCUUUGUUGUUGACACUCUUUCCUGCUGAGGUAGGAAAUGCUGGGAAGAAAAAGCUGGGCCUUCUUGGCUGGGACCUGAUACCCGAAUUCCUGAAGGAGGUAAAGCAGGACUGGGAUGGCCAGCCCAACCGACUAAUGAGGAAUUUGACCUCCUGGGAUAGAAAAUCUGUACUAAGGACCUUGAAGAAGUCCUUGCCCAGUCAUUUUGGGCAGUAUCGACGAUCCGACAUAUGAAAUUUAGACAGACACUAAACAGGACAAUAGGCACUGGGGUAUAUAAACAAGCAUGGCAAUUUUUAUAGACAGACAAGGGGAGGGGGUCCCGUGAUGGGAUCAGUCAGAUGCCCUCCUGGCUGCUCCCCUUUCGGGGACUUAGGCUCCUCUUGGCAUUGGCAGGCUGGUAUAAACCCCUGGCUUGGAUCGAGCUAUGCCUGAUGCCGCCCUAAGCCUUAUGAGGUCACCACGGAACCACAGGUGAGGGCCUUCUCGAAUUCCCUAGCUUUCACCCUGGAGCUACAAACUGGAAAUUCAAGCGCAAGCCCUUGAACUCCACAUUCACUCACUCACUCACUCACUCAGAGUUUAUUACAAUUUUUAUACCCAUUCUAAAACAGAGAUCUCCCGGAGACCUGAAUGAGAGAGGGAGAAGAGAUAGAGAGAGAGAGAGACUAGACUUAACAGAGAAUCCUGACAGAAACCAGGACUCUGUCCUCCAGUGUCCUGGAGCAUGGACAGAGUCUGAGGGAGGACCUUCGUCAGGGCCGUUUCCCUCCCAGAGAGACAGAGUCAGAUCUGACUUACCUUCCCGGGACUAGAGACUGAGGACUCAGGAGUUGAAUUUGGCUGGGCGCACCGGCAGUCGAUCCGUUCCCCUCCAGAAGACAGUGGCCUGUGGAGCCCUGGAACGUCUUCAGGUGGCCCUGUAAGCCAGCUGUCUGUCUGGGGAAGCCCGGAAUGAGUCAGGUCUUCACCCGGUGGCGAAUCUCUCUGGGGCUUCCAAAUGUCGUAACCGAGCAAGUCAUAGAGAGAAUGCCACACUCUGAGACUAAUUCAGGAGUCCUUUAUUGCUGGCGACUGAGAAAGAGCUAGAGCUUGAAAUUCUCUCGGUCCGGAAGAAGAGGCUAGAGUUCUUUUUAUACCUUGGCCUAAAGAGGGGAGGGGGAGUCUAGCUGAAGCAAUUUUUUACAGAAGCAGAACAGGAAAAAAUUAAAAGAUAAAUGGUUACAGAAACAGUUACAGGAAAAUAAACAGUUCCAGGUGCAGGGGCUUAAAGUAUCCCAAAGUGAUAAAAGCAGGGGCUUUGGAUACCACCAACCAAGUGUGCUCCCAGGAGCUGCUGGUACAGCUUGCCUCAGUAUCUUAUCAAUAAGCGCAUUCUUGGAUGUGCUUGGAGUCAGCUUGCACCAGUUAUGUCCUUAAGGAGGGGGACAAGGGGCUGCAAGCGAAGAAACCAAGCUAAGACUCUCUCAGCUAUUGACUCUCUCGAUAUUGACUCUCAAUUGAGUCUCCCAAGCUAUUGACUCUCUCAGCUAAGAAAGAGUCAAUCAGGAUAAAACAAGAUAGGGUAUCACAAUUUGAUCUGCAAGAUUAUUUCCUGGACUUGUGAAAGGCGAGUCGUUUUGGUGCCCUGGGACAUGUACAAUAGCUAUCUCUUCUGGCAAUUGGAGAUUGUUGAGGACACGAGCAUCAGUUCUCUAUGAACUAAAUCUUGGCCUCUACUAUUGAUAAGAGCCCUCUCCAUCCAAAUUUUCCCAAAUGUGUGUGCCUCCCCAGAGGGAUACUUAGAGUCAGUAUAGAUAGAUUUUCUUGGUUUUGUAAAUGUCCUAAAGCUUGGCUGAGUGCAAACAGUUCACACCCUUGGACAGACCAAUUAUUAGACCCCCUUCCUGAUUUUACUUUUUUAACAGUCUUUCCAUUAAUCACUGAAUACCUAUUAUGUCUCUUUCUUUUAAUCACCUGGGAGGUUCCAUCUAUGAAUAAGUGCCACCCUGUCUUGAAGGGAGUUUUUCCUAAGUCUGGUUGAACUUUCGUAUGGUAAUUAAUUCGAUUUAAACACGCGUGCUCUCUCGUUUUACGUUUGGAUCCCCCGUUAAAGAGCCUGCUGAAUAAAGUGAAUUAUUAGUACUUAAUAUUAAAUCACCUUUUUCCCAGAAAGAUAGCCUCAUAUUUUAAAAUUUUUGAGUUGGUAAUCUCCCUCCUUGCGUUUUGAUUUAAUAUAGUUUUAACUUGGUGGGUUGUGGCCUGAAGCGGCUGGGGAGUAACUUGAAACCUCAGCUGAAGGGACAGCACAGGCUGGGGCGUGGCCUGAAACAGCUGGGGAGUAACCUGAAACCACAGCCGGAGGGACCUGAGAGGGGAACCAAAGGGGCAGGAUUGGGGGCGCUGAAGGAAGGAAGGUGAUUUAGAGGAUCCCAUGUCUUGGUAGGUAUGGGUUGUCUAGGCAUGGGAACUCUUUCCUUUUUAGAAAGGUUGGUUUCUGAUUUUCUCCCUCCAGAGUCUAAAGGGUAAAGGAGAACUGGUCCCUGCCGCCAGCAGAGGGCGUAAUCGAUUUUUCCUGGGACACAGGGCUCUUACUGUUAACAUAUUUGAUUAACAGCUGACAAAUUCGCUCUUCAUUAGACUUAAAUUUUGGCCAGAAAAGUGAGGGCUUAAGGAUGGGUUCUCGAACUUAAAUAAAACAACAAUAUUCUAUCAUCUGCUGUUUUUGUUUAUACUUGGUUCUCUUAUUAUUUUUUCAAUACUUUAGCAUAAGCCCCAAGGGGCUAUCAGAAGGAAAUUCAUCACUCUCUAGACUCUUUAGUUUUCCUGUCUUACUUGAAACGUUCCCCAUCUUAGGGAUUAUGGGGAGGAGGCCCAACCCCUCCUGUGAGAUUUCUACCCUCCCCCUUCCUGGAGGCUUACUGAGGCUUUGGGGAAAGGCUCCAACCCAACCUGUUUGGAUUUCUACCCUCCCCCUUCCUCUUUGUCUACUCUGUCUGUUCCUGACUCUAGUUGACAGAUGGCAGCAUGAGGCCAUAGAGAAGACUCACUCACUCCACAUAACCACCAUACUAAGUCCCAUUCAUACACUGUCAGCCUCCAGCUUAUCCCAACCACCUGGGAAAUACUUUGUCACCUUCGCCAAGUCUCCUACCUUAUUCCAUGCACAAGAAUUUCCUGGUCCUCUUAUUGUUGCGGUCUUGCAAGCUUCUCCUCCCCGCUUUGCUGAGAUCCAGACUUAUUUGUCACAAAGCGGGGGGGGGGCCCUGAUCUCCCUCAACCUAGGGGCACGGUAACUAGACAGUAGGAUGCGUCCCCUCCGGGUGGGGUGACCGAAGGCCCCCUUCCCAAAGGAGAAGAUUCGAGCCCCAAAGUUGGGCUCCAGAACUGUUAGGAAUAACGCUCAAAAUCUUAAGGAAAUUGAACACUUGAACAAAGGAUUCUUAGCAAAGCAAUUUUACUUCUGCGCAGAGAGGUGCCUCCUUGUCCAGUCGCCAUGAGAGCACACCUGAAAAAGGGGCACGAGAGCCUUUACUCCUGACACAAGUACUGCCCCUGUACCCUUUCUCCAUUGGCCAGGGUCAGGUCGUACAAUCUAAACUAAUCCUGGUUGGCUAAACAUUGGAUUUUUUUUAGAUAAGGUGGGCACGUAAAAAAGGCAGAGAAUAAAGGGGAAGGGGUGUCUGUAAUGAGCUAAAAAGUUAGUCCUCUUUCCAAAUAAGGAAAGGAAUGUGAGCAGGUACAGAUACCACCUGGUACUGUGGCAUGCCUGGGCAUGUAACAAAGGAAAAAAGAGAAAAAAGGAGAAAAAGGAAAAAAGGUGGAGGGAUUACUAUGAAUUAAAGAAUAAAAGAUUGAUCAGGUUAUCUGAAGAGAAACCUCAUCAUAUCCCACACAUCCAUCCAUCCAUCCAUCCAUCCAUCAUUCAUCCAUCCAUCCAUCCAUCCAUCCAUCCAUCAUUCAUCCAUCCCCAAUCCAUGUAUCCUUCCACCCAUCCCUCCUUCCAUUUGUCUUUCUAUCCAUCCUUCCUUCUUUCCAUGUUUCCAACCAUCCAUCCAUGCCUCCGUCCCUCCACCCAUCCAUUCGUCCAUCCAUUGUUCCAUCCAUUCCAUCUAUCUAUUUAUUCACCAGAUAUUAUUGAGGCGGGGAAUACAAUAAUUAACAGAACUCAAAAAUCCCUUCUCUCAUAGAGCUUACAUGCUAGUGGGUAGAAACAGGGUAAGCAAGCAAACAGCAAAUAUAUAAAAUACAUGACAUAUUGAUAAACAAAUGCUAUGGAGAAGAAGAAAACACUUAGAAGGGCAAGAAGAAAUAUCAGAGGAGGUAGGUUAAUUUUAAAUAGGGUGAUGAAGAAAGUCCUCUCUGAAAAGACGAUAAAUCGGCAAGGAAAUUAAAAAUACAAGUCAGAGAAUUAUUCUAAUAUCUGAGGGCAGAGCAUCCCAGGCAGUGAGAAUACCAAGGGCAAGAGCCCUGAGGCACAAGUACCUCUCUUGCGUAAUUUUUUAGUAACGGUCAAGGUCCUCUUGGUCCUCACCAACUCUCCCUAACUUAUCUGGGGGCUGAUAUUUUUGAACCAACAAAAGUGCUGGAAGGCAACACUGUAAGAUUUUAAGGGUGCAAAACUUUCAUGAAAUGUCUGGGAAAAUGCUGACAACAAAUGAGGAAAAACAAAUGAAUUAGGUAGAAUUUAAAAUUAAAUGUAAUCAAAUUCCACUGCAUUGUACAUUCAGAAUACGUAUUUUCUAAAAUCGAAAGGCUUGUUAAAUGAGAAUAAUUUCAAGUAAAAGUGUCUCUUUCAUUUGGUUUUCCCAGUGGAUGUAUAAAAUAACUAAUUGAGCUAAAUCUGUUAUUUUUUAAAUCCUUAAUGCCUCUCUAGAAUGUAAAAGUUCAUUUCCUAUUGUGGAAAUUUUGAAAAUUAUGUAAAAGAAUAACAAAAAUAAACUUGUUGCCAAACAACAUAGAAAAAAACCCUCUUAAUAUUCAAAUCUUUCUAGAUAGAUUUUCUUUUAUUUCUAAGUUUUGCUGGUUUGAUAGUGUAUAAAGCUUAUUUUAAUUUGCAUUUUUAUUACUAGUCUGUACAAUUUUUCAUGUCAUUUAAUGGUCAAUUUUAUGUAAAAACUUUCUUUGUGGCAUCUGAGAUUUUUCUUAUUUAUAUGAAUAAACUCUUUUGAUUAUAAGAAAAUUGCCAAA
Molecule: long non-coding RNA, 5690 nt
Filed under: Homo sapiens (human)
Lineage: Eukaryota; Metazoa; Chordata; Mammalia; Primates; Hominidae
Description: HSALNT0129381
Source: RNAcentral